Molecule: long non-coding RNA, 587 nt
Filed under: Oncorhynchus kisutch (coho salmon)
Lineage: Eukaryota; Metazoa; Chordata; Actinopteri; Salmoniformes; Salmonidae
Description: lncRNA (ENSOKIG00005002773.1)
Source: RNAcentral
CCACCCUCAGAACAGCUGGGUCACCCUCAUGGACUGCCACCCUCAGAACAGCUGGGUCACCCUCAUGGACUGCCACCCUCAGAACAGCUGGGUCACCCUCAUGGACUGCCACCCUCAGAACAGCUGGGUCACCUCAUGGACUGCCAUCCUCAGAACAGCUGGGUCACCCUUGUGAACUGCCACCCUCAGAACAGCUGGGUCACCCUCGUGAACUGCCACCCUCAGAACAGCUGGGUCACCCUCGUGGACUGCCACCCUCAGAACAGCUGGGUCACCUCAUGGACUGCCACCACCAUGGAUGGUCUGGUGAGUUGGACCUGGUAACGAACGCUAAGCACUCAGCCAACAUGACGGCGCUGACUCCCUGCCGCCUCUACAUCCUGUCCACCCAGGCCUACCAGACCUUGCUGCAGCGCUUCCCUAUGGCUGGAAGCCCACAUCAGCCCGCGUGGCCCUUCACCACCUCACAGCCUAGUCCAACCCCAUAGCCAUUGUGAGUCAUCCUUCAAGUCCACACUGAAACACAGAUCACACAAUGGGUACAAAUUAAACCUUUCUGAUUCGAAACACUUCAAGGUGCAUUUUGU